CCUAACACAUGCAGUCGAGCGGGGCAACCUGGCGGCGAGCGGCGAACGGGUGAGUAACAUAUCGGAACGUACCCGUCGUGGGGGAUAACUAUCCGAAAGGAUAGCUAAUACCGCAUACGACCUGGAGGGUGAAGGGGGGAUCGCAAGACCUCCCGUUAUCAGAGCGGGCCGAUGUCGGAUUAGCUAGUUGGUGGGGUAAAGGCCCACCAAGGCCGACGAUCCGUAGCUGGGUCUGAGAGGACGACCAGCCACACUGGGACUGAGACACGGCCCAGACUCCUACGGGAGGCAGCAGUGGGGAAUUUUGGACAAUGGACGCAAGUCUGAUCCAGCCAUGCCGCGUGCGGGAAGAAGGCCUUCGGGUUGUAAAACCGCUUUUGUCAGGGAAGAAAUCUUCUAGGCUAAUACCUUGGGAGGAUGACGGUACCUGAAGAAUAAGCACCGGCUAACUACGUG
RNAcentral lists this ribosomal RNA (456 nucleotides) under uncultured bacterium. Its description in RNAcentral is "bacterial SSU rRNA". It matches the Rfam family "Bacterial small subunit ribosomal RNA", at positions 47 to 507 of the family's 1533-position model. The record is from RNAcentral.